AUUGGCUUAGAUUUGCAAGCGGCUGUUGUCUAUCAAGUUUAUCGCACAAUGUUAGCUCAAAAGUACCGCCCCGGAAGAGGCGGGCUUUGUGAAGAUGGCGGCGCCGGGUAGUCCCGAGGUGGUGGAGUCAGACCUGCCAAGUGCCGUCACACUUUUGAAAAACCUUCAGGAGCAGGUGAUGGCUGUAACUGCACAAAUACAAGCUCUAACCAAAAAAGUUCAAGCUAGAGCCUAUCCUACAGAGAAGGUAAGACAUAUUGGAAGAGUUAGCAUCCCCUGACUUGUUAUCCACAGUUCUUUCAUCAUAGGUUUGUUGAGUGUUUUCUGUGUCCUUAAGUUUAGAGCUUCAAAGAUGGAUAAGAUCCAGUUUCUGUGCUGAAGUCUAGUGGAGAAGACAGAUGAAAGCAAUAGGUAUGAGCAGUAGUAGUCACUUCACAGAGUCAUCAUGAGUGCUGUGCAAGCCCGGGAGAGAGACUGAAUAAUUGCCAGAGAGCAGAGGAAGUCAGGGAAGGCUUCCCAGAGGAGAAGGAUUUUGAGGAAUAAAUAAGAGUCCAGGGAACAGAAGGAAACAGCAUGUACAAAGCCACAGAGACCUGAAAGCAUGGUAAUAUACUGGGAAAGGAGGUCAUUUAGUGUGGUUGGAUAUACAGUGUGUUGGGGGGUGGGAUGGGGAGUAGGAAAUAAGACUAGAAAAGUAGUCACUCUGUGAAGAGCCUUGUAGGCCAACUGAGGAGUUACUACUGUAUUUCAUCUAAUCUAAGAUCCUGUUAACCGGGCACAUACCACUUACUUCGUAUACUAAAAAAAUGCUGCUUGUUAAUCAAUGAUACAAGGUUAAGAUGCCAUUGAUUAAAAGAUACAUCCUGUCUUCAGAGGUGUUAAAAUAUGAAAACAAUGUGCAUAUUAAAAUUGAAAUAUGGUAGGGCGCCUAGGUGGCUCAGUCGGUUAAGUGUCUGUCUUUGGCUCAGGUCAUGAUCCUGGGGAC
Long non-coding RNA from Ailuropoda melanoleuca (giant panda), 985 nucleotides. RefSeq lists it as uncharacterized. The record is from RefSeq and is a predicted model, not a curated record. The transcript has 3 exons. NCBI's taxonomy places the organism in Eukaryota, Metazoa, Chordata, Mammalia, Carnivora, Ursidae.